GUACUGUAAGAUAUCAAAUUGAACAAUUGAUCGAUUCCGAAGAAACUCAAUCACUACUUAAAUUCGUUUGUGAUCUAGAUAUUUAGACCACCUCCAAUGGUGGGUUUAGGGUGAGGUUCUUAAGAAGAAAAGGAAAAAAAAUAAAUCAAAAAUGAUAAAAUUAGACAGAACCGCUCCUUAAUUAAGGGGAUAUAGAAUCGGUUGAAACCCCAUAUGUGGCGCAUGUGUAUUGGGUCGUUGCUUUCACACGAAAGGAAAAAAAAAAUUGGCCAUUGAUG
RNAcentral lists this long non-coding RNA (278 nucleotides) under Brassica napus (rape). RNAcentral describes it as "long non-coding RNA (BNAP_LNC019492)". The record is from RNAcentral. Lineage: Eukaryota; Viridiplantae; Streptophyta; Magnoliopsida; Brassicales; Brassicaceae.